Trichomycterus rosablanca is the source of this 227-nucleotide long non-coding RNA. RefSeq lists it as uncharacterized. The transcript is spliced from 3 exons. NCBI's taxonomy places the organism in Eukaryota, Metazoa, Chordata, Actinopteri, Siluriformes, Trichomycteridae. The record is from RefSeq and is a predicted model, not a curated record.
UUGAACCCCAACCUGAGGAUAUCUAUGGAUGGGACAGUGAUAUGUCAGCAAUUCUCCUGCUUCUGCAUCUACUUCCCCCAACCCCAAGAGGCCAGAAAAAAACAUCAAAGAUCAGUUCAGCCCAGGCAACCAACCAUCUUGUGCGGUACCUUCCGGAAGGAGCCAGUCUUACUACAUUCCUUGAGAGAGCUGAAACGAAACAGCCCUUCCUCCUCUGCAUUGGUGAG